Molecule: long non-coding RNA, 1595 nt
Organism: Carassius gibelio (silver crucian carp)
Lineage: Eukaryota; Metazoa; Chordata; Actinopteri; Cypriniformes; Cyprinidae
Exons: 2
Source: RefSeq, a predicted model, not a curated record
CCGUUGCUUUCUGCGUUUCCACCGCGGUGUAAAGUACCGGGAAGAUUAGGCACGCGUUUUUCAAUACGAAGUACGCUGAUUUUGGACGUGCAUCCUCGGUAGUUCAGAUUUUGUGCAUUCGACUCGAGAGUGUGAUGUCCGCGACGACACAAAUCCGGUAAUUCUGCAAACAGCAGCAUACUUGAAGACAUCAGUCAGCUCGCCUUGGCUACUGAACGUGGGUAAUGGUUCCUGGUUCAUCUUCUCGCUGUGUGAGAUGCUGUCAAAAUAUGCCAAGCUGAUCAUGACACGUGUUAACCACAAGGUGGCGCUGGACUUUAAAUCCUCCUCCAAUCUACCAGGGUUUGAUGGCAUGAAACAUCUCGGUUACGUAUGUACUCCCUAUUCACCCAUGACUGUGUUCCUCUUUAUGGCUCCAACACGAUGAGUCAGCCUGCAGGGAUGAGGUGCAGCACCUGGCUGUGUGGUGUGCCACCAACAACCUGGAACUAAACACCCAGAAGACAAAGGAGAUUAUUGUGGACUUCAGGCGGACUAGGAAUCAUGCACACACACCCAUCUACAUCAACGGAGCUGUAGUGGAACGUGUCGAGUUUCAAGUUCCUUGGCAUCCACAUCUCAGAUGACCUCACCUGGUCCCUAAACACCACCCUGGUCAAAAAGGCUCAGCAGCGCCUUUACUUCUUAUGGAGCCUUAAAAAAGUUCAAAAAAGAUCCUCAGUCCCAGGAUCCUUGCUGAAUUCUACCGAUGUACAAUAGAGAGCAUACUCACAAACUGCAUCUCAGUGUGGUACAGGAAUUGCUCCUCAUCUGACCGCAAAGCACUCCAGCGGGUGGUGAAAACUGCUCAACGGAUCACUGGCACCCAGUUAACCUCCAUCGAGAACAUUUAUCAGAAGCGCUGUCUGGGCAGGGCAAGAAACAUCAUCAAAGAUGCCUCUCACCCUAACCAUGAACUUUUCACCCUCCUUCCAUCUAGCAGGCAUUACAGGAGCCUACGCUCUCGAACUAGUAGACUCAGGAAGAGCUUCUUUCCUGAGGCUGUGACACUCCUGAACGCCACACCACCAAUCUAACCUGCACCUGCUCUUUUACUGCACUGGUCACAGUACUUUACAUACAUGUAUUGCACUACUCAUAUUUUGCACAGACUGCACAUGGUUAAAUCCAUUACACUAUAAACUGUCUAAGUUGUUACUGUACAAGCACAGUAGACUAUUUCUACAAAAGAAUCAUUGCACUACUGUUAUUUUGCAUAUAAUACAUUGUUCAACAAUACUUUUGCACACUCAUUCAACUGUAUUUAUUACCACGGUUCUCACGUUCCUGCUAUUCAUAAUGUAUAUAUAAUCCUUCAUUGCUCUGUUCAUAAUGUACAUACAAUCCCUACAUUGCGUUCAUAUUUAUAUUCUGUAUAUACUCUGAUCAAUAUUGUAUAUAGCAACUCCACUGUACAUUCAUCAUAGCUUUACUUACUCUGCACUUUUAUGUAUAUAAAACACUAUAUUCUUGCACUUCUGGUUAGAUGCUAACUGCAUUUCAUUAGCUCUGUACUUGUACUCUGCAUAAUGACAAUAAAGUUGAAUUGAAUCUAA